Molecule: ribosomal RNA, 492 nt
Filed under: uncultured bacterium
Lineage: Bacteria
Description: partial 16S ribosomal RNA
Rfam family: Bacterial small subunit ribosomal RNA
Source: RNAcentral
AGUGAACGCUGGCGGUAGGCCUAACACAUGCAAGUCGAACGGCAGCACAGUAAGAGCUUGCUCUUACGGGUGGCGGGUGGCGGACGGGUGAGGAAUACAUCGGAAUCUACUUUUUCGUGGGGGAUAACGUAGGGAAACUUACGCUAAUACCGCAUACGACCUACGGGUGAAAGCAGGGGAUCUUCGGACCUUGCGCGAUUGAAUGAGCCGAUGUCGGAUUAGCUAGUUGGCGGGGUAAAGGCCCACCAAGGCGACGAUCCGUAGCUGGUCUGAGAGGAUGAUCAGCCACACUGGAACUGAGACACAGUCCAGGCUCCUACGGGAGGCAGCAGUGGGGAAUAUUGGACAAUGGGCGCAAGCCUGAUCCAGCCAUACCGCGUGGGUGAAGAAGGCCUUCGGGUUGUAAAGCCCUUUUGUUGGGAAAGAAAAGCAGCAGGUUAAUACCCCGCUGUUCUGACGGUACCCAAAGAAUAAGCACCGGCUAACUUCGUG